Molecule: ribosomal RNA, 488 nt
Filed under: uncultured bacterium
Lineage: Bacteria
Description: bacterial SSU rRNA
Rfam family: Bacterial small subunit ribosomal RNA
Source: RNAcentral
CGCUGGCGGCGUGCCUAACACAUGCAAGUCGAGCGGAGUCAGUAAGAGGAAGUUUUCGAAUGGAAUCUUAUUGAUUUAGCGGCGGACGGGUGAGUAACGCGUGAGCGACCAACCUUGCACAGGGGGAUAACGGACCGAAAGGUUCACUAAUACCGCAUGAGACCACGGUGUUGCAUGACACAGGGGUCAAAGGAGCAAUCCGGUGCAAGACGGGCUCGCGUCCGAUUAGGUAGUUGGAGGGGUAACGGCCCACCAAGCCUAUGAUCGGUAGCCGACCUGAGAGGGUGAUCGGCCACAUUGGAACUGAGAUACGGUCCAAACUCCUACGGGAGGCAGCAGUGGGGAAUAUUGGGCAAAUGGGGGAAACCCUGACCCAGCAACGCCGCGUGAAGGAAGAAGGUUUUCGGAUUGUAAACUUCUGUCCUUGGUGAAGAGAAGAAGACGGUAGCCAAGGAGGAAGCCCCGGCUAACUACGUGCCAGCAGCCGC